GGGCCUGUAGCUCAGGUGGUUAGAGCGCACGCCUGAUAAGCGUGAGGUCCGUGGUUCAACUCCACGCAGGCCCA
This 74-nucleotide transfer RNA is filed under the name Gemmatimonadota bacterium. RNAcentral describes it as "Gemmatimonadetes bacterium (sediment metagenome) tRNA-Ile". It matches the Rfam family "tRNA". From Rfam's summary of the family: Transfer RNA (tRNA) molecules are approximately 80 nucleotides in length. Their secondary structure includes four short double-helical elements and three loops (D, anti-codon, and T loops). The record is from RNAcentral. Lineage: Bacteria; Pseudomonadati; Gemmatimonadota.